AUAGAGACUCAGAGCUGCAUAUCAAUAAGCGGAGGAAAAGAAACUAACAAGGAUUCCCUUAGUAACGGCGAGUGAAGCGGGAAGAGCUCAAAUUUGAAAUCUUCAAGGGUUCUACCUUGACGAAUUGUAGUUUAUAAGAAGUGUUUUCUGUUAGAUGAGGUGGCUAAAAGUUCUUUGGAAUAGGACAUCAUAGAGGGUGAGAAUCCCGUAUUUGGUACCAUAUCCUCCUAGCUGUUGUGAUACACUUUCAACGAGUCGGAUUGUUUGGGAAUGCAGUCCAAAAUGGGUGGUAAAUUUCAUCUAAAGCUAAAUAUUGGCGAGAGACCGAUAGCGAACAAGUACCGUGAGGGAAAGAUGAAAAGAACUUUGAAAAGAGAGUUAAACAGUACGUGAAAUUGUCAAAAGGGAAGCGUUUGACACCAGUGUUGUUUUUCCGAAAAUCAAUUACGAAUGUUUUGUUUUUGAGGAGUUAUGACUUCAUCGGCUUGCUCCUUUCUUUAUGAAACUUUCUUAAUGCACUUUUCGGUUAACAAGUCAACAUCAAUUUCUUUUGUUGUAAAAGGGUAUGAGGAAGGUGGCUUUCUUUUCGGAGAAAGUGUUUAUAGCCUUGUGCCUCUGCAAUCGGAGAGAUUGAGGUCUGCAGCGUAGAUCCUUCGGGGUUAGAUACGUUUGUGCUAAGUUAUAGCUUUUCAUAGACAACUUGUUGACUAUGUUUAGUCUUGUAGCUUACUCGCUGACGCUAUUUUACCUACGCUUAGGAUGUUGAAGAUAUGCGCGACACG
RNAcentral lists this ribosomal RNA (782 nucleotides) under uncultured Neocallimastigales. RNAcentral describes it as "partial large subunit ribosomal RNA". It matches the Rfam family "Eukaryotic large subunit ribosomal RNA", at positions 23 to 644 of the family's 3401-position model. The record is from RNAcentral. Lineage: Eukaryota; Fungi; Neocallimastigomycota; Neocallimastigomycetes; Neocallimastigales.